UGUUACUGGAUCCACAGUGAUGAAUGUGACCACAACUUCGGCAUUUGCUAAUCUAACUGGACUAAUACCCGGAAGCAUGUAUACCCUCCAAGUUGUGGCCUUGGCUCAGGACAAUAUGACUAAAGGAGAUGCAGUGGUAAUCGCAGCAUUCACAAAACCCAGCACAGUUAGCAAUUUAAAUAUUGGUAACAGCAACACUACCUCCAUUUUUCUUAGCUGGUCACCACCCAGUGGAAGUGCAGCCAGCUACAGAGUGGAAGUCACUGGAGUGUCUGUCACUAACAUGACCACUAACUCAGCCUUUGCUACUGUGACUGGAUUGACACCAGGGAGCAUGUAUACACUGAAUGUUUUGGCCUUGGCUGGGGACAGUGUGACGCAAGGAGAUCCAGUAACAAUUACAACUUAUACAAAACCCGGUACAGUUAGCAAUUUAUAUGUCUCUGACAUCAAAAGUACCUCCAUUUCUCUCAGCUGGUCUCCCCCAGGUGGAAAUGUGGCCAGCUACAAAGUGGUAGUUACUGGAGCAACAGCCACCAAUGUAACAACAGCCUCAAACUUUGCUAUUGUAACUGGACUAACACAAGGGAGCAUGUAUACACUGAAGGUUUUGGCCUUGGCUGGGGACAAUGUGACACAAGGAGAUGCAGUGACAAUAACGGCUUAUACAACUUCGGUCACCCUUCGCUAUCAGUUGUCUCUUCUUGAUUCAGAAGCAGUUAAUGAUCAAAUAAAGACUCUGAUACUGAAAAAGUUAAGCAGUCUUCUUCAGAACCAGCUGCCACCAAAUUCCUUCUCAAUAUCUUUUAAAGGAUGAAGGGACUGUAUAUUAAAACAGCAUCAACCAAGUGACGUUAUUCUUGUUAUACAACUUGAAACAUAUGACACAUUAUGUAUUCAAUUUUAAAUAACAUUGUAUAAUAGUGUUUAUUUUCUUACUUUUUAAAAGAAGUGUAUAAUUCCAUUAUUAUUGUAAAUAAUUAUAUGUAAAUGAAUGUCUGAGCUUGAUUGCAAUAGUAAAAAGUUCUUAUGGUUCCAUAACUGUUUGAAUUUGCCUGGCAUUGUUCAAAGGCAUUUAUCUUCUAAUAAGGCAAGACACAAUACUUAAUGAUCAGCUUCAUUCUACUUUGCAGGAUUAAUUUUAAGUUAGGAAAAGCACCUUCCAGCAUGAAAAAAUAUCAUAUCUCAAUAGCAAGUGAGGUCAACAAAUAAUUUGACAAAUUUAUGCUCUGAUUUUCGCAGUGUCCAGAUAGAAAAUCAGUUACAAAGGCAUGAGGCAACAACGAGGCUUGUACCUCACCUGAUGAAGUUAGAUGUUAGACGUGUGGUGGACACAACACCAAGGCACACUUUUCUGGGUCAUUCAUGUUUACUUUCUGCAUUAGUUCUGUAUACAGGAUUAACUUUAUAUCAACUUUUGGUCAUUUAUCAGGUGAAGAUGAAAAAAUAUCCAGGAAAGGCACUGCAGAAAGUGAUCAUGAGAUUUUCUUAUAAUCUGCCGAUUUUCUAGUAUUGAAAGGUUUUGCCACCCUGCAUAUGCAAAAGGGAAAAAGUAAAAGUUACAUUCUUGCUGGAAAAAAAGGAAAGUGGACCCAACUAUCAAAAGGGCAAUGAUAAUGGUUUGUUGAAAUCAUUUACCAAAUAAAAUGCAAUAGAGUAAUAAUGAAUGAAACUUUUAUUGCCCCUAAAAUUUGUUUUACAUGUAAUUGCACAACUGUAAAAAGUGAAGCUUAAUAAAAUUAGGUUGUGAGAGUUUUAGAAGUUUUUUAGGGUGGCAAACAAAGAAUAUUGCUCCCCAAAGGUUAUUCCAUAGCCAAACCUGCUAUCUCUUUCCUCGGCCUAACUUCAUCUGCUGCCCAUCCGCGCUAUCUUCUACGGCUCCUUCUACGAAGUUCUAGGUCUUCUUAUCUGCCUUAUAUACUGUUCUGACUCACGCUGCAAGUGCUGCCUGACACUGCUUAUUUAGGGUCAGAGGUAACAACAGCUGCACUCACUUUUCCA
RNA transcript from Polypterus senegalus (gray bichir), 2001 nucleotides. It is a transcript of the gene named receptor-type tyrosine-protein phosphatase eta-like, with no coding region annotated. Lineage: Eukaryota; Metazoa; Chordata; Cladistia; Polypteriformes; Polypteridae. The transcript has 7 exons. The record is from RefSeq and is a predicted model, not a curated record.